AAGUCGUAACAAGGUUUCCGUAGGUGAACCUGCGGAAGGAUCAUUAUUGAAAUAAACCUGAUGGGUUGUUGCUGGUUCUCUAGGGAGCAUGUGCACACCUUGUCAUCUUUAUAUCUCCACCUGUGCACUUUUUGUAGACCUUUCAGGUCUAUGUUGCUUCAUUUACCCCAAUGUAUGUUAAUAGAAUGUUGUGCCUAUAUAAUAUAUACAACUUUCAGCAACGGAUCUCUUGGCUCUCGCAUCGAUGAAGAACGCAGCGAAAUGCGAUAAGUAAUGUGAAUUGCAGAAUUCAGUGAAUCAUCGAAUCUUUGAACGCACCUUGCGCUCCUUGGUAUUCCGAGGAGCAUGCCUGUUUGAGUGUCAUUAAUAUAUCAACCUUCUCUUUUUUGAGUUGUUUGGAUGUGGGGGUUUGCUGGCAUCUUAAAUGAUUCAGCUCCCCUGAAAUGCAUUAGCAGAACAACCUGUUCAUUGGCGUGAUAAUUAUCUAUGCUAUUGAAUGUGAGGGCAGUUCAGCUUUCUAACCGUCCUCGGACAAUUCAUCAUUAAUGUGACCUCAAAUCAGGUAGGACUACCCGCUGAACUUAA
This 585-nucleotide ribosomal RNA is filed under the name uncultured Cortinarius. RNAcentral describes it as "eukaryotic LSU rRNA". The stretch from base 210 to 363 matches the Rfam family "5.8S ribosomal RNA". The record is from RNAcentral. Lineage: Eukaryota; Fungi; Basidiomycota; Agaricomycetes; Agaricales; Cortinariaceae.